UACGUAGGGGGCUAGCGUUAUCCGGAAUUACUGGGCGUAAAGCGCGCGUAGGCGGUUUCUUAAGUCUGAUGUGAAAGCCCACGGCUCAACCGUGGAGGGUCAUUGGAAACUGGGAAACUUGAGUGCAGAAGAGGAAAGUGGAAUUCCAUGUGUAGCGGUGAAAUGCGCAGAGAUAUGGAGGAACACCAGUGGCGAAGGCGACUUUCUGGUCUGUAACUGACACUGAGGCACGAAAGCGUGGGGAUCAA
This 248-nucleotide ribosomal RNA is filed under the name uncultured Lachnospiraceae bacterium. RNAcentral describes it as "partial 16S ribosomal RNA". It matches the Rfam family "Bacterial small subunit ribosomal RNA", at positions 524 to 771 of the family's 1533-position model. The record is from RNAcentral. Lineage: Bacteria; Bacillati; Bacillota; Clostridia; Lachnospirales; Lachnospiraceae.